CCGCAAGAUCACCACCUGAGCUGAUAUCAAGAGCUGACCACUUAAUCUACUGAGCUACCCAGGUAUCUCCUGCCUCCAGUCAUCUGGUUUUUCAUAAAUGGCUUUAGAGCUGAAUAUUUACAAACUGGAGUCUUUAAUGUUCAAUAUUCAUAAACAGCCUAUGCCUCCAACAAACAGUGAUACGAAAACAAAACAUAAAUGCCUACUUAAUAGAACUCUAGAUGAUAGCCCUUCCUUGUCUGACCUCUGGAUUUAUGGUUCGUCAGGCUAGGCUGUCUCCCAGACCGGCUAAUUUGACUGUAAAGUCUCUUUUCAGUAGAGACCAGUUUUCUUGCACUAGUUUAAUUCUUUCUUAGUCGCCAGUCUACCUAGACUUUUCUUCUUUCUCUUUCAAUUGAUUACAACUUCACUGUCCUGUGGAAAUCUCUUUGUUUACUGCUGUGGAAAUCCAGGGGGGCCAGAACCGGGAACAUGGCUCUCAGCAACGCUGGGUCCUGCAGCAGACGGGUAAACUGACCAGACCUUGCAUAUGCCCUAACCUGAGGUUGGAACUACUCCUGCCCCCAUCUCUCUGUGUGCCUACCCUCAGAAAAACAGAUUACAAAUGUGGGCACCAGAAUCAGAUUGCCUGGACCCGAUCUCCUCCUGGCCAAGCAAGAGUUACUUAACAUUUUUUGGCCUCACACUCUUCAUCUAUAAAACAGGAUAAAAAUAGUUUCUAUCUGA
Molecule: long non-coding RNA, 726 nt
Organism: Felis catus (domestic cat)
Lineage: Eukaryota; Metazoa; Chordata; Mammalia; Carnivora; Felidae
Exons: 2
Source: RefSeq, a predicted model, not a curated record